AGUGAACGCUGGCGGUAGGCCUAACACAUGCAAGUCGAACGGCAGCACAGUAAGAGCUUGCUCUUACGGGUGGCGAGUGGCGGACGGGUGAGGAAUACAUCGGAAUCUACUUUUUCGUGGGGGAUAACGUAGGGAAACUUACGCUAAUACCGCAUACGACCUACGGGUGAAAGCAGGGGAUCUUCGGACCUUGCGCGAUUGAAUGAGCCGAUGUCGGAUUAGCUAGUUGGCAGGGUAAAGGCCCACCAAGGCGACGAUCCGUAGCUGGUCUGAGAGGAUGAUCAGCCACACUGGAACUGAGACACGGUCCAGACUCCUACGGGAGGCAGCAGUGGGGAAUAUUGGACAAUGGGCGCAAGCCUGAUCCAGCCAUACCGCGUGGGUGAAGAAGGCCUUCGGGUUGUAAAGCCCUCUUGUUGGGAAAGAAAAGCAGCAGGUUAAUACCCCGCUGUUCUGACGGUACCCAAAGAAUAAGCACCGGCUAACUUCGUG
This 492-nucleotide ribosomal RNA is filed under the name uncultured bacterium. Its description in RNAcentral is "partial 16S ribosomal RNA". It matches the Rfam family "Bacterial small subunit ribosomal RNA", at positions 29 to 507 of the family's 1533-position model. The record is from RNAcentral.